RNAcentral lists this unclassified non-coding RNA (336 nucleotides) under soil metagenome. RNAcentral describes it as "partial contains 5.8S ribosomal RNA, internal transcribed spacer 2, and large subunit ribosomal RNA". The stretch from base 1 to 120 matches the Rfam family "5.8S ribosomal RNA", at positions 35 to 154 of the family's 154-position model. The record is from RNAcentral.
GAUGAAGAACGUAGCGAAAUGCGAUAAGUAGUGUGAAUUGCAGAAUUCAGUGAAUCAUCGAAUCUUUGAACGCACAUUGCGCCCCUUGGUAUUCCAUGGGGCAUGCCUGUUCGAGCGUCAUUUGUACCCUCAAGCUCUGCUUGGUGUUGGGUGUUUGUCCACUCCCUGGUGUCUGGACUCGCCUUAAAGCAAUUGGCAGCCAGUGUUUUGGUAUUGAAGCGCAGCACAUUUUGCGUCUCCAGCCUAGAACGCUUGCGUCCAGUAAGCCUUUUUCCACUUUUGACCUCGGAUCAGGUAGGGAUACCCGCUGAACUUAAGCAUAUCAUAAGCGGAGGA